Molecule: ribosomal RNA, 596 nt
Filed under: uncultured bacterium
Lineage: Bacteria
Description: bacterial SSU rRNA
Rfam family: Bacterial small subunit ribosomal RNA
Source: RNAcentral
CCUACGGGAGGCAGCAGUGGGGAAUAUUGGGCAAUGGAGGAAACUCUGACCCAGCGACGCCGCGUGCGGGAUGAAGGCCUUCGGGUUGUAAACCGCUUUCAGCAGGGAAUAAGCGCAAGUGAAGGUACCUGCAGAAGAAGCACCGGCUAACUAUGUGCCAGCAGCCGCGGUAAUACAUAGGGUGCAAGCGUUGUCCGGAAUUAUUGGGCGUAAAGAGCUCGUAGGUGGUUUGUUACGUCGGUUGUGAAAUUCAGGGGCUCAACCCCUGACUUGCAGCCGAUACGGGCAAGCUAGAGUUUGGUAGGGGAGACUGGAAUUCCUGGUGUAGCGGUGGAAUGCGCAGAUAUCAGGAGGAACACCGAUGGCGAAGGCAGGUCUCUGGGCCAAUACUGACACUGAGGAGCGAAAGCGUGGGGAGCGAACAGGAUUAGAUACCCUGGUAGUCCACGCCGUAAACGGUGGGCGCUAGUUGUGCGAACCUUCCACGGUUUGUGCGACGCAGCUAACGCAUUAAGCGCCCCGCCUGGGGAGUACGAUCGCAAGNUUAAAACUCAAAGGAAUUGACGGCUUGAGAGNGCGAGCGACGACGAGGAGAG